CUUCUCUUUAUACUUCGGCGGCUGUUUUCCUCUUCUCCAACUCAACAAUAACGAUCGUUUUCAAUUGCAAAACUAUCUCAGUAAAAUUAGAAAUUUUAGGUUCAAAUUCAAGCUCAACCCAUGUUCUGUAUUUGGCUAGAAAUUGUAUUGCGCACAGUUUCGUCUUGGAAUUUAUGUGGAUUUGUCGUAAGAGAUUUAUUGAGCAUGUUUGAAAGGUUUUUGGAAGGCUACAGGUGAGUUUGUUAGGCCCAUAGGGGGAUCCCACAAAUGUGGCUAUCCGCGGAAGACCGUCCGGGAUGGUGGCUGAUAUCCUGACUAUCCUAACAUUAGAGUUUGGUCCUCACUAGUAGCAUACGUGAACUUGUCGGUUGACAAGUACAUCAUUUAUACUAUUUUGAAUGAAAAUGGAUUUGUCAUGCUUUAUGUAAUUUCUGAAGUUGGACAUGCUCAUUUCUUUAGAUUGAAUUACAUGUUGAUCGUUUUACAUUGGCGCAUUAUUUUCCUAACCCCUACCGGACUGUGGCUCACUCCGCUUUGGUUUUGUUUUCCCCACAGAGUAUGAAGCAAGGUUGAGGCAGUAAGCUUGGGAAGAGCUUGCAGCCAAGAGCUUGAGCAAAAGUUGGUAUUUUUGCUUAUCUAUAAUGUGUAUAUCACGGGAUAAUCUGGGUAGUUUAUUUUGUUGUUGUCUCAUGUCAUUUUGAUGUAUUUUUGUUGUAUAUAUGAUGGGAACUAGUAGAAAGUAUUUGCAUGGUUUGUGUGGAAAAAUUUUGUUAUGCCGAGAUCGAACAGUCUCCUGCAUGUGAAACUUAUCUUGAUGUCAAUUCAAAAAAUGUUGGCAUGUAGAUUGUGGAAUUUUUUGUUUUGCUUUAUAUAUAAAUAGUAUGAUCUUGCAUAAUGUUUAAUUUUUGGAGCAUCCAAAACUGUCUGUAAAAAAAAUUCAUUUCUAUGUUUAUGUUCUUUAGUCUAGUCUACGUUUGAACUGCACCCUUAAUUAUUAAGAGUAUUCGACUACCAUGUAUUAGUCAUAUGGAACAGUUUUUUCUUUAAUAUCUCGUAGCAUUUAUGUUUGAGAAUCUUGUUUUUAUGUAAAAAUGAUUUGAAAUAAAAUAAACUAGUGUACUGCUUAUACCUCUACUCCUUACGAGAUGUUUGGCUCUCAAGAAAUGAAUGUUAAUUUUACUUUUGAUCAAGCUUUUCAGCAACCAAGUGGAUUUAAGUACAUUUCUUUAAAUUUUAUUUUGUGGUAACCAGAAUUCAGAAACUAAAGAACUUUACCUGACAAUGUUAGAGCUAUGGUUACGAACUUUUAUCUCUUGUUUCCUCGCAUGCCAAUAAAGUGGUCUUUAAUCUUUUGUUGCUCUUUCCUAAAUUGAACGCGUCUGUUUUUAUCUUGUUGCGGUUCCGAGUGAUUUUCAUUAUACUGGAUCAUGGAAAUGAAAUGUGUCAUUUUAGUAUUCGAGUGACGUACCGGGGGUUCGGCUCUGCUAAUCGGGUUGAAAUCAACCCGUUAGAGGGGGGAAUUCUCUAGUCUGUUACAGUUGGUAUCAGAGCGUGUUUCGAUUUACCGGGACUGUGCUUUGUUGUUGUUUUUUUACUGGAUUAUUCGAUUAUUCAGGAAUUUAGUUUCAUUCAUAUGCUUCUGUUGUUUUAAAUCCAAUAGAAAUGUCCUGAUGUGUUUAAUUUGAGUCUGCAUUUGAUUAGGAAGAGCGUUAUUAUGGUUUGCAUGAAAAUUCUCUGAUUACUUUUGGGUCUGUCUAUAUGAUUCUGUUGCGAUCACUUUUAGUUGGUUUGAAAGCAGAUAUCUGAAAUGAUACUUUGCUUUGAACAUUGAAGUACCAGGUUUUGUUAAUGGUUUUCAAAAGAAUUCUUUUUAAGAUUUUAUUUUCUAUUACAGAAUGCCAAGUCUAUUUCUUUUUAUUUUGUUUUGGGGAUUUGGGAAAAAGCCAGAAACCGUGAUAUACAUAUUAAUGUGCUUGUUAGUAAUGAACAUUACUAACAAUUUCUAACUCUUGUAAAUGUUUAUUUAUUGCGAAGAUGCCUCCGAAGACUAUGAAGCUUAAAGGUGUUAUUUCAGCGAGAAAUAGUGGAGCCAAGAAUGUCGUUAUGGUAAAACAUCUGUAAUCAUGUUGUGAGCACUUGGCGCAAAUCGCACAGACCAUAGGUGGUGCCAAUGGGAACCAGAAUCAGUUGCGACCUAGUAGUGCUAUGGACUUAAAGAAAUUCAGGAAAGUGAUUGGUGAUCGAGUGUUUAAUGGUACGGAAGAAACCAUAGAAGCUGAAAGGUGGUUAAUGAGUAUGAGAAAGGAGUUCGAUGCACAUUUAGUGGUUGAAGAAGAUAGGGUAUGCUUUGCUAUGUAUAUGUUUCAUGGUAAUGCAGAUGAUUGGUUGAAUUCAGAGAAGCGAAUGAGAAAUGUGAUGGAUAUGUCAUGGGAACAGUUUGAAAAUUUGUUCCUUGAUAAGUAUUUUCCGCCUACAACAAGAUACUUGAAGUGUGCCGAGUUUGCAGUGUUGAAGCAAGGAGACAUGACGGUCACGCAACUAGAUAAGCAAUUUAGUGAGCUAGAACAUUACGGGAAACACUUAUUUGAAACACCAGAGUUCAAGGCUCGAAAACUUGAGGGUGCUUUGAAGGAUGUGAUUCGUGAUAGAGUUGUUGCAGUGGGACUAAAGACAUACAAAGAGGUUCUUAAUUCUGCAUUAGCAGUUGAGGCUAGCUUGAUGCAAAGUCAGAAA
Papaver somniferum (opium poppy) is the source of this 2733-nucleotide RNA transcript. RefSeq lists it as uncharacterized. The transcript has 2 exons. Lineage: Eukaryota; Viridiplantae; Streptophyta; Magnoliopsida; Ranunculales; Papaveraceae. The record is from RefSeq and is a predicted model, not a curated record.